This 469-nucleotide ribosomal RNA is filed under the name uncultured bacterium. Its description in RNAcentral is "partial 16S ribosomal RNA". It matches the Rfam family "Bacterial small subunit ribosomal RNA", at positions 28 to 507 of the family's 1533-position model. The record is from RNAcentral.
GACGAACGCUGGCGGCGUGCUUAACACAUGCGAGUCGAACGGAAAGGCCCUGCUUGCAGGGUGCUCGAGUGGGGAACGGGUGAGUAACACGUGGGUGAUCUGCCCCUUACUUUGGGAUAAGCCUGGGAAACUGGGGCUAAUACUGGAUAGGACCAUGCUGUAGGUGGUGUGGUGGAAAGAUUAGUUUCGGUAAGGGAUGAGCUCGCGGCCUAUCAGCUUGUUGGUGGGGUAAUGGCCUACCAAGGCGUCGACGGGCAGCCGGCCUGAGAGGGUGGACGGCCACAUUCGGACUGAGAUACGGCCCAGACUCCUACGGGAGGCAGCAGUGGGGACUAUUGCACAAUGGGCGCAAGCCUGAUGCCGCGACGCCGCGUGGGGGAUGACGGCCUUCGGGUUGUAAACUCCUUUCCGCCCUGACGAAGCCCUUGUGGUGACGGUAGUGGUAGAAGAAGCACCGGCUACCUACGUG